GUGUUGGUGUACGAGGCGCGUUUAUGAUUUUCAUUAUGUUACUUGAUAUGAAAAAUUGACAAAAAAUAAUAUUUUACUUGUAAGAGUAAAUCCUGAGCCUGUAAUAGCUGCUCUUCUUGUUCCAUUUGAAUUAAUAGAAACAACGCUGUCGCCUUUCUUGUUCUCAUAGAAUCAUAUGAUAUGAGCUCCAUGUUUUGUGAACGUCUUUCUUAAGUGUCGUAUUAGACUGACCAGUGC
Molecule: long non-coding RNA, 237 nt
Filed under: Mytilus galloprovincialis (Mediterranean mussel)
Lineage: Eukaryota; Metazoa; Mollusca; Bivalvia; Mytilida; Mytilidae
Source: RNAcentral